UGGGGGAUAUUGCACAAUGGGCGAAAGCCUGAUGCAGCGACGCCGCGUGGGGGAUGAAGGCUUUCGGGUUGUAAACCUCUUUCGCUAUCGAACAAGGCCCGCUUAGGGUGGGUUGAGGGUAGGUGGAGAAGAAGCGCCGGCUAACUACGUGCCAGCAGCCGCGGUAAUACGUAGGGCGCGAGCGUUGUCCGGAAUUAUUGGGCGUAAAGGGCUUGUAGGCGGCUUGUUGCGCCUGCUGUGAAAACGCGGGGCUUAACUUCGGGCGUGCAGUGGGUACGGGCAGGCUUGAGUGUGGUAGGGGUGACUGGAAUUCCAGGUGUAGCGGUGGAAUGCGCAGAUAUCUGGAGGAACACCGAUAGCGAAGGCAGGUCACUGGGCCAUUACUGACGCUGAGGAGCGAAAGCAUGGGUAGCGAACAGG
Molecule: ribosomal RNA, 420 nt
Filed under: bacterium
Lineage: Bacteria
Description: partial 16S ribosomal RNA
Rfam family: Bacterial small subunit ribosomal RNA
Source: RNAcentral